Molecule: long non-coding RNA, 807 nt
Organism: Alexandromys fortis (reed vole)
Lineage: Eukaryota; Metazoa; Chordata; Mammalia; Rodentia; Cricetidae
Exons: 3
Source: RefSeq, a predicted model, not a curated record
ACUUGCGUGUCCUGCAGACACUGGACCUCAACGGAUGCGGAACAGCAGAUCAUCCCCUCGCGGCUUCUUGCAGAGACUUGAUAAACAGCAGCAUCGCUCUGGGUGCAGCUAGAAAGAGGACAGACAGGAAGAAGACAGGGAAGAGAGGAAGGCUCGCAGUGCACAGAGCAAACUCACCUUAGUGGUGCGCGUCUAUGGUCCACCUACUGGCAAGCCCAAGGCGAGAGGAUGGGAAGUUCCAGGUCAGCUGAUGAUGCAAGGUGAGAAAACUGGGCAGGAGUUAGAGGCAGAUCCCAAAUUGAGCUUUGGAUCCCGUCCUUUCUUCUUGAAGACUUCCUCGGCGCCGUACAGAUCAGGAAACUCUCAGGCACAUUCUCCCUGCGUAUGCUAAUAUCUAUGCAUAAGUGUGCACAGGGCUGUUCAAAACCUGUUAUGAAUACUAACUCCACUCUACUAAAAAUGCCCCCAAAUUCUGAUCCCGUGUUUGAUAAACACUUGAAAAGGACAGUAUUACUUUGAGACUUAAAAUGUAUUUAAAUCCUGACUUCCAGUAUCUGCAGCUGCUUAUUGGCCAUCAGCAGGUUUUAAUAUAAGAUGUAUUGAAUGGCUGCUACAGAAGGUUGCUCAGAUUCUUGGUUAAGUGCAGAACCCUAGAGCACAUAACUCUCGCUCGUUCCCCUUACCUGGCCUGCUGGUCUAAUCAGACUACAUGCCUUUAGAGCACUGUUCCGGCUUGACUGAAAGAAGGCUACCUUUGCACGAGGAGGAAGUUGUGGAAAGGGGAUAAUCUGAGCAGAAGCAGGUGAA